CAGUCGCCGCGGGAAUACGAAGGGUGCAAGCGUUACUCGGAAUUACUGGGCGUAAAGCGUGUGUAGGUGGUUGUUUAAGUCUGUCGUGAAAGCCCUGGGCCCAACCUGGGAAUUGCGAUGGAUACUGGGCGACUAGAGUGCGGUAGAGGAUAGUGGAAUUUCCGGUGUAGCAGUGAAAUGCGUAGAGAACGGAAGGAACAUCUGUGGCGAAGGCGACUAUCUGGGCCAACACUGACACUGAGACACGAAAACGUGGGGAGCAAACAGGAUUAGAUACCCGCGUAGUCCCUGUCUCUUAUAC
This 301-nucleotide ribosomal RNA is filed under the name uncultured bacterium. Its description in RNAcentral is "partial 16S ribosomal RNA". It matches the Rfam family "Bacterial small subunit ribosomal RNA", at positions 509 to 807 of the family's 1533-position model. The record is from RNAcentral.